GCGUGAGUGAUGAAGGCCUUAGGGUUGUAAAGCUCUUUUACCCGGGAUGAUAAUGACAGUACCGGGAGAAUAAGCCCCGGCUAACUCCGUGCCAGCAGCCGCGGUAAUACGGAGGGGGCUAGCGUUGUUCGGAAUUACUGGGCGUAAAGCGCGCGUAGGCGGCCUUGUAAGUCAGAGGUGAAAUCCCGGAGCUCAACUCCGGAACUGCCUUUGAAACUGCAUCGCUUGAAUCCGGGAGAGGUGAGUGGAAUUCCGAGUGUAGAGGUGAAAUUCGU
This 275-nucleotide ribosomal RNA is filed under the name uncultured bacterium. RNAcentral's name for it is "partial 16S ribosomal RNA". It matches the Rfam family "Bacterial small subunit ribosomal RNA", at positions 399 to 691 of the family's 1533-position model. The record is from RNAcentral.